This 922-nucleotide ribosomal RNA is filed under the name uncultured Bacteroidota bacterium. RNAcentral's name for it is "bacterial SSU rRNA". It matches the Rfam family "Bacterial small subunit ribosomal RNA", at positions 1 to 916 of the family's 1533-position model. Lineage: Bacteria; Pseudomonadati; Bacteroidota. The record is from RNAcentral.
GGAUCCAGACUUUGAUCCUGGCUCAGGAUGAACGCUAGCUACAGGCUUAACACAUGCAAGUCGAGGGGCAGCAUGAACUUAGCUUGCUAAGUUUGAUGGCGACCGGCGCACGGGUGAGUAACACGUAACCAACCUUCCGUUUACUAAGGGAUAGCCUUUCGAAAGAAAGAUUAAUACCUGAUAGUAUGGUGAGAUUGCAUGAUAGCACCAUUAAAGAUUUAUUGGUAAACGAUGGGGAUGCGUUCCAUUAGGUAGUAGGCGGGGUAACGGCCCACCUAGCCGACGAUGGAUAGGGGUUCUGAGAGGAAGGUCCCCCACAUUGGAACUGAGACACGGUCCAAACUCCUACGGGAGGCAGCAGUGAGGAAUAUUGGUCAAUGGGCGAGAGCCUGAACCAGCCAAGUAGCGUGAAGGAUGAAGGUCCUACGGAUUGUAAACUUCUUUUAUACGGGAAUAAAGUAUCCUACGUGUAGGAUUUUGUAUGUACCGUAUGAAUAAGCAUCGGCUAACUCCGUGCCAGCAGCCGCGGUAAUACGGAGGAUGCGAGCGUUAUCCGGAUUUAUUGGGUUUAAAGGGAGCGCAGACGGGAGAUUAAGUCAGUUGUGAAAGUUUGCGGCUCAACCGUAAAAUUGCAGUUGAUACUGGUUUCCUUGAGUGCAGUUGAGGCAGGCGGAAUUCGUGGUGUAGCGGUGAAAUGCUUAGAUAUCACGAAGAACCCCGAUUGCGAAGGCAGCUUGCUAAACUGUAACUGACGUUCAUGCUCGAAAGUGUGGGUAUCAAACAGGAUUAGAUACCCUGGUAGUCCACACGGUAAACGAUGGAUACUCGCUGUUGGCGAUAUACUGUCAGCGGCCAAGCGAAAGCAUUAAGUAUCCCACCUGGGGAGUACGCCGGCAACGGUGCAACUCAAAUGAAUUGACGG